This 475-nucleotide ribosomal RNA is filed under the name Neisseria shayeganii. RNAcentral's name for it is "bacterial SSU rRNA". It matches the Rfam family "Bacterial small subunit ribosomal RNA", at positions 9 to 475 of the family's 1533-position model. Lineage: Bacteria; Pseudomonadati; Pseudomonadota; Betaproteobacteria; Neisseriales; Neisseriaceae. The record is from RNAcentral.
GAGUUUGAUCAUGGCUCAGAUUGAACGCUGGCGGCAUGCUUUACACAUGCAAGUCGGACGGCAGCACAAAGAAGCUUGCUUCUUGGGUGGCGAGUGGCGAACGGGUGAGUAACGCAUCGGAACGUACCGAGUAGUGGGGGAUAACUGUCCGAAAGGAUGGCUAAUACCGCAUACGCUUUGAGAAGGAAAGCGGGGGAUCUUCGGACCUCGCGCUAUUCGAGCGGCCGAUGUCUGAUUAGCUAGUUGGUGGGGUAAAGGCCUACCAAGGCGACGAUCAGUAGCGGGUCUGAGAGGAUGAUCCGCCACACUGGGACUGAGACACGGCCCAGACUCCUACGGGAGGCAGCAGUGGGGAAUUUUGGACAAUGGGCGCAAGCCUGAUCCAGCCAUGCCGCGUGUCUGAAGAAGGCCUUCGGGUNGUAAAGGACUUUUGUCAGGGAAGAAAAGCUUGAGGCUAAUACCCUUAAAGUGAUGA